CCUACGGGGGGCAGCAGUGAGGAAUAUUGGUCAAUGGGCGCAAGCCUGAACCAGCCAAGUCGCGUGAGGGAAGACGGCCCUACGGGUUGUAAACCUCUUUUGCCGGGGAGCAAGCCUGAGCACGUGUGCCCCGGCGGAGAGUACCCGCAGAAAAAGCAUCGGCUAACUCCGUGCCAGCAGCCACGGUAAUACGGGGGAUGCGAGCGUUAUCCGGAUUUAUGGGGUUUAAGGGGUGCGCAGGCGGGCUGUUAAGCCGGGGGUAAAAAUUCAGGGCCCAACCCUGGCGAGCCGUCGGAACUGGCAGGCUUGAGUGGGCGAGAAGUAUGCGGAAUGCGUGGUGUAGCGGUGAAAUGCAUAGAUAUCACGCAGAACGCCGAUUGCGAAGGCAGCAUACCGGAGCCCGACUGACGCUGAGGCACGAAAGCGUGGGGAUCGAACAGGAUUAGAUACCCGAGUAGUC
RNAcentral lists this ribosomal RNA (460 nucleotides) under uncultured bacterium. RNAcentral's name for it is "partial 16S ribosomal RNA". It matches the Rfam family "Bacterial small subunit ribosomal RNA", at positions 338 to 795 of the family's 1533-position model. The record is from RNAcentral.